This 484-nucleotide ribosomal RNA is filed under the name uncultured bacterium. RNAcentral's name for it is "bacterial SSU rRNA". It matches the Rfam family "Bacterial small subunit ribosomal RNA", at positions 30 to 527 of the family's 1533-position model. The record is from RNAcentral.
AUUGAACGCUGGCGGCAUGCUUUACACAUGCAAGUCGAACGGCAGCGCGGGGGCAACCCUGGCGGCGAGUGGCGAACGGGUGAGUAAUGUAUCGGAACGUAUCCUGUAAUGGGGGAUAACCAGUCGAAAGAUUGGGUAAUACCGCAUAUUCUGUGAGCAGGAAAGCAGGGGAUCGCAAGACCUUGCGCUGAUUGAGCGGCCGAUGUCAGAUUAGCUAGUUGGUGAGGUAAAGGCUCACCAAGGCGACGAUCUGUAGCGGGUCUGAGAGGAUGAUCCGCCACACUGGAACUGAGACACGGUCCAGACUCCUACGGGAGGCAGCAGUGGGGAAUCUUAGACAAUGGGGGAAACCCUGAUCUAGCCAUGCCGCGUGAUCGAUGAAGGCCUUAGGGUUGUAAAGAUCUUUUCAGUGGGGAAGAUAAUGACUGUACCCACAGAAGAAGCCCCGGCUAACCUCCGUGCCCAGCAGCCCGCGGGUAAGACG